RNAcentral lists this ribosomal RNA (384 nucleotides) under Triticum aestivum (bread wheat). RNAcentral's name for it is "partial small subunit ribosomal RNA". Lineage: Eukaryota; Viridiplantae; Streptophyta; Magnoliopsida; Poales; Poaceae. The record is from RNAcentral.
AUGUUCGAUGAGAUUGCGCUGCAGGUUGCUAUACAUUGCAAGGAAUUUGGCAUUGCGGGAGAGGUGUUGGGCAGCUAUGUUUUUCCUAUUGCUUCAGUGGAGCACCCACCCUGUACUUUUGGGCAGCUUAUCCUAUUUGUGUCAAUGCACUGGAACAAUUCAUGUCGGAAGGGAUUCAAAAGAAGUGGUCAUACUGCAAUCAGCUUACUCAUUGGCAAUGCAUGGCGACGGUGUUCCAAUCUCCUUGAAAAUUGCAUAAUGAUCCUCCGAGGUCUAUUAUGGUGCUUGUGGUUUGUGAGAGAGUACAAUGAAGAUUGUUGUUUCACUAAGCAGCCAUUACAUGAUGGUAAACAGGCUUUCGACACUAUGUGCAUGUUCUAUUAG